UCCCUGGUGGCUCAGACAGUAAAGCAUCUGCCUACAAUGCAGGAGACCCAGGUUUGAUCCCUGGGUUGGGAA
This 72-nucleotide transfer RNA is filed under the name Bos taurus (domestic cattle). It matches the Rfam family "tRNA". Rfam says of the family: Transfer RNA (tRNA) molecules are approximately 80 nucleotides in length. RNAcentral also lists the same sequence under 5 other names. Lineage: Eukaryota; Metazoa; Chordata; Mammalia; Artiodactyla; Bovidae. The record is from Rfam by way of RNAcentral.